Molecule: ribosomal RNA, 458 nt
Filed under: uncultured bacterium
Lineage: Bacteria
Description: partial 16S ribosomal RNA
Rfam family: Bacterial small subunit ribosomal RNA
Source: RNAcentral
CCUACGGGUGGCAGCAGUGAGGAAUAUUGGUCAAUGGGCGAGAGCCUGAACCAGCCAAGUCGCGUGAGGGAGUACAGCCCUAUGGGUUGUAAACCUCUUUUGUCGGGGAGCAAAAGCCGGACGUGUCCGGCUGUGAGAGUACCCGAAGGAAUAGCAUCGGCUAACUCCGUGCCAGCAGCCGCGGUAAUACGGAGGAUGCGAGCGUUAUCCGGAUUUAUUGGGUUUAAAGGGUGCGCAGGCGGAUUUUUAAGUCAGCGGUAAAAUCGUGGGGCUCAACCCCAUCCAGCCGUUGAAACUGGGGAUCUAGAGUGUGCGAGGGGUAUGUGGAAUGCGUGGUGUAGCGGUGAAAUGCAUAGAUAUCACGCAGAACCCCGAUUGCGAAGGCAGCAUACCGGUGCACAACUGACGCUCAGGCACGAAAGCGUGGGUAUCGAACAGGAUUAGAUACCCGGGUAGUC